UGGGGCAGGCACAAGUACAUUUG
RNAcentral lists this non-coding RNA (23 nucleotides) under Cricetulus griseus (Chinese hamster). The record is from RNAcentral. Lineage: Eukaryota; Metazoa; Chordata; Mammalia; Rodentia; Cricetidae.